RNAcentral lists this long non-coding RNA (942 nucleotides) under Pan troglodytes (chimpanzee). Its description in RNAcentral is "lincRNA". Lineage: Eukaryota; Metazoa; Chordata; Mammalia; Primates; Hominidae. The record is from RNAcentral.
GGUCUGUAUGCUCCCCUAGAGUUUUGAGCAGCUGGGCAAUGAAGAGGUGAGCUACAACUCCCAGUGCACACCCUGCGAGGGGGACAAGGGAACUUUUCCUCUUUUAGAAACACCAAAGCACAAUCAACCCAUCAAACGAAAAAAACAACAACAGCCUAAACGACAAGGUUGAUGUGGAGGAGAAAAAUACGGUCUCGCUCUACCACCCAGCCUAGGAGUGCAGUAGAGUGACUACAGUUCACAGCAGACUCAACCUUCCAGGCUCAAGCAAUCCUCUCACCUCAGCCUCCCAAGUACAUGGGACUACAGGCACACUCCACCAUUCCCAGCUAAUUUUUGUAUUUUUUGUAGAGACAUGGUUUUGACAUAUUGUCCAGGCUGGUCUUUUACUGUCAAAUUGCUAUAUUUUAUUGCUUUUGUUUUUGAAUAUUUUUGAUCCAUGAUUGAGUCCAUGAACAUGGAACCUGUGGACAUGGAGGCCCAACAAUAGUACUUAAUGUCUUUCUAACACAGCUACCUUAUGAACUCUGGAAAAAAUUGUAUGCCAGCCAAAGCAGUGGAACAACCAUAUUCUACUCACUGGAUUGUCCUCAACUGUUCAACAAUACCUCCCAAACUUGUUCCUGAUUUCCUCCCAACAUGCAAUGACUCCAUUCUCAUUGUGCUCUUAUCUGUUUCACUUAGUUGGAUUAUUUCUGUUCAAAAAUAUGUUUGAUUUUUAAAAAUCAGGCUUUCACAGCUUUUAAAAGUUGUAUAAACCACUGUAUUUGUUUGAUAGAUGUGGGUGAAUUUGGCUUCCUACAAAGCAAUAACAAAUCGUCCACAUAGGAAAGUUACCAUUUCUGCAGAUGGAAAAAUGUGUACCUUGAUUCUCAUAUCAUUGUUUUCAUUUUGCAAGAUAUGAAUUUCUUGAAUAGUGGUAUCACCUACAAUUACUUAAAA